CGGGAAGUGGCUUAAUCUGGUUAAAGCACUCGGUUUGGGACCGAGAGAUUGCAAGUUCAAAUCUUGUCUUCCCGA
Acanthaster planci (crown-of-thorns starfish) is the source of this 75-nucleotide non-coding RNA. The record is from the annotation of a RefSeq genome assembly. NCBI's taxonomy places the organism in Eukaryota, Metazoa, Echinodermata, Asteroidea, Valvatida, Acanthasteridae.